GGAUGUAAGGGUGAUCUGGCUGCAACAUCUGUCACCCCAUUGAUCGCCAGGGUUCAUUCGGCUGAUCUGGCUGACCAGGUGGGUGUUCUUUUCCUCCCUCACCACUCCUGUGUGUCCCUCCCGAAGCUGCGCACUCAGUUGAAGAGGAUGACCAUCCCCAAUAGAGGAGGACUGUUCUUCGGUCAAGGGUAUACGAGUCGCUGCAUUCCCCUGCUAGAACCUCCAAACAAGCUCUAAAAGUUCUCAGUUUUUUACGCUAUUGGAUAUUUUUUUCUGAUAUUAAAAUUUCAUGUUUUUAGCACACAAAGUAGUGAUAUCAA
Tupaia belangeri (northern tree shrew) is the source of this 320-nucleotide unclassified non-coding RNA. Its record names the gene 7SK. It matches the Rfam family "7SK RNA". Rfam says of the family: 7SK was discovered as an abundant small nuclear RNA in the mid-70s but a possible function has only recently been suggested. Two independent studies have found that 7SK RNA binds the CDK9/cyclin T complex (known as elongation factor P-TEFb). Lineage: Eukaryota; Metazoa; Chordata; Mammalia; Scandentia; Tupaiidae. The record is from Ensembl.